UGCAAGUCGAACGAAGGCCCUAGCUUGCUAGGUGUCCUUAGUGGCGCACGGGUGAGUAACACGUGGGAACAUACCUUAUAGUACGGAAUAACUGCGGGAAACUGUAGCUAAUACCGUAUAUUCCAGCAAUGGGAAAGAUUUAUCGCUAUAAGAUUGGCCCGCGCAAGAUUAGCUUGUUGGUGAGGUAAAAGCUCACCAAGGCUUCGAUCUUUAGCUGGUUUGAGAGGAUGAUCAGCCACACUGGGACUGAGACACGGCCCAGACUCCUACGGGAGGCAGCAGUAGGGAAUAUUGGACAAUGGGGGCAACCCUGAUCCAGCAAUGCAGCGUGAGUGACGAAGGCCUUAGGGUUGUAAAACUCUUUCAUCGGUGAGGAUAAUGACAGUAGCCGAAGAAGAAGGACCGGCUAAUUCCGUGCCAGCAGCCGCGGUAAUACGGAAGGUCCUAGCGUUGUUCGGAAUUACUGGGCGUAGAGCGCAUGUAGGCGGAACAGAAAGUUAGAAGUGAAAUCCCUGGGCUCAACCUAGGAAUUGCUUUUAAAACUUCUGUUCUGGAAUUCAGGAGAGGAAAAUGGAAUUUCCAGUGUAGAGGUGAAAUUCGUAGAUAUUGGAAGGAACACCAGUGGCGAAGGCGAUUUUCUGGACUGAUAUUGACGCUGAGAUGCGAAGGCAUGGGUAGCAAACGGGAUUAGAUACCCCGGUAGUCCAUGCAGUAAACGAUGGGUGCUAGUCGUCGGACUUUUGUUCGGUGUCGUAGCUAACGCGUUAAGCACCCCGCCUGGGGAGUACGGUCGCAAGAUUAAAACUCAAAUAAAUCGACGGGGACCCGCACAAGCAGUGGAGCAUGUGGUUUAAUUCGACGCAACGCGAAGAACCUUACCAGCGUUUGACAUGGAAAAGUACCGGUUACAGAAUGGUAACCUUCAGUUCGGCUGGCUUUCACACAGG
RNAcentral lists this ribosomal RNA (947 nucleotides) under uncultured marine bacterium. RNAcentral's name for it is "bacterial SSU rRNA". It matches the Rfam family "Bacterial small subunit ribosomal RNA", at positions 56 to 1038 of the family's 1533-position model. The record is from RNAcentral.